UGCAUUAUCUUCCUUCUUUAUUGACACAGAUCCAAACAGGAAACAAUAUCUCCAUUUUAAAGAGCACAGAGAGUUCAUUCAUCAUCCCAAGGCCACCCACUUAGUAAAAUGUAUAGCCUGGAUAUCAGCCAUUCAAUGCCCACAUCAAUAUUCCCAACAACGUUAGGCAUUAACUACCAGACGAUUUUCAGUGAUACCGAGAAAGGUGUUGCGAGCUCCAUAAAUACAGCACUUUCCACUAGCAAACCCAGUGGGAUUCUUCAAUACGUAGCAAGCCUCGCCCCAGUUAACGUUCCCGUUUUGCAGAUGAGGAAAUGGAGACUUCUAGAAGAAGUCAGAGAGAUCUGAGUUUGAGUUCCUGCUUUUUCACUCACCAGCUGCACAGGUCUCUGCAAAUCACGUAAUUCCUUGGAGGUUCACCCGUCCUCACCAGCAACAUAGGGACAAUAUCUGAUCUCAAAGGGCUGGUGUGGGGUAAAUAGAAGGACAGAGCUUGGCUCCUCUUUCUAGAGGCAAUAAAGGAUCAUCUUUUCUUCUGUUCCUCAGGCUGGAGUGCAGUGGCACAAUUGUAGGUCACUGCAGCCUCUGCCUCCCGGGUUCAUGCCAUUCUCCAACCUCAGCCUCCUGAGUAGCUGGGAUUACAGGCACCCACCACCAUGUCUGCCUAAUUUUUGUAUUUUUAGUAGAAAUGGGUUUGGCCAUGUUGUCCAGGCUGGUCUUGAACUCCUGACCUCAGGUGAUCCACCCACCUCAGCCCCCAAAGUGCUAGGAUUACAGGCCUGAGCCACUGCGCCUGGCCUUGCUAUGAUUGAUAGAGGUAGGAAAGGGGAUUAAGUGGGAAUAAUGAGGCAUCAUGACUGAGGCAUUAUAGCCACACUUCCUGAAGAAGAGUUUGUUACAUCUGUUGAACUGGGAGAAAUCCAUUAAUUAGGCAUAUUUCUUUCUGCUGCAUUUGCACAUCAUGUGUUAUGUCUUCUUCCUCAGGUCUCAUGAGCAGACUGUCACCGGAUGGUAAGUGUCAGGAUUGUAUCUUUUAAACCUGGUCUUUCUCUUGUCCAGGAGGCAGAGCAUCAGAGGCAAGGUGGCCACUAACAGUAGAUUCAUUCAGCACCUUAAAUCAGCCAAUGAAUUUCCAAGUAUCCCUUUGCAUGGAUUCUUUUAAUCCUUAUAAGCCCUCUAAGAGGUGUAAAUGCCACAAAAGCUACAGUGACCAGCUCGUCCCAGGACACUUCCAGUGUUAGCUCUGAAACUCUCGCAUCCUGGGAACCCCUUCAGUUCUGGGCAGACCAGGAGCGUGGGUCUCUCAUUUAUGAUUCCACUUUUCUGAUGAGGAGACUGAGGCACAAGGAGAUGGAGUGAGUUGCUGAUGGUCACGAGGCUGGCAUUGAGAAGAGAACCAAAGAGGGGCACCUUGCUCCUUCCUCAAGCUCCCUCCUGACCCUCGGGGGAGAAAUGAGAGAGAACCCUGGAGACUCAAAGGGAUGCUCUAGUAUCUUCCUAAUCUCUGGAAGAUGAAUCCCCACGGAAACUGAAUACCUGGGGCUUCUGUCCACCUGGAUGGGAAGAUCUGUUUUGAGAACCACAGGGUGGGAGGAGCUAGGAAGAAGGCGUUAUUAAUUUCUUCCUUUUCCUCUCCUCUCCUUCCUUCCUUCCUCCACUGCUGCCCAACAAUGCCCACUGGAUCUUCUGCUCCUGGCAUCUCAUCUCAACAGCACUGAAACCUAAGAGUCUUGUUUCACAUUUGACCCCUUCUGUUUUGCUCCUGUUCUCAUCUCUGCCAAGGGAGGUCCACUCUUAGCCAUGGAUCAACUCUCAGCUUUUGACCAUCUUUUUUUUUUAAACUCAAGAACUGGGAAAAAAUAGCUAUAUUACCAUCAUCUUCAAAUAGAUGGGAUGUCUCAUGGAAACCAAUCCCUCCUCGAAUCAGGCAUUCAUGUAAUGCCAUGAUGAGGAUGGUGAUGACAGUGAUGGAAAUUUACAAAGAGCUUUCUAGGUGCCAGGUGAUGAAAACGUUCUAAAAUUGUUUGUGGUGAUGGAUGCACAGCUUUGUGAAUGUCCUAAAAACUACUGUCUUGUACACUUGAUGGCAGCACGACCCACCCAGGGCUCCGCUCUCCUGUGCUCCCAUCGCUCUGUCUUCUGAUGUUGUGAUUUUUCCCUACAUGUGGCCUCCUCUUCCACGGCUCCUGGGAACUCCAUACUCUGGGCCUGUCUGCUCCCCUGACCUGUCUUGCUUCCUGGACCCCAUCUCCUUCUGGAUGGACAUCAUCAGAGAUCCUAGGCUUGCUGAGCCUCCAAGUACUGCAUGGUAAGUCUGGUGACUGCUAUUUCGUGUUCACUCCUGUGCACAGAAAUAUACAGGUACUGGUUUUUUCUAUGGUGGGGGGUCCCUUAAAUAUCAUCAGACCCUACACUCUUUACUUCCUCUUCCUCCCUCCCUCUCUCCCUCCCUUUCUUCCUUUCCUCUUCCUCCUUCUCUUCCUGCUUCUUUUUCUCCUCCAUCUCUUCAUUUUUAGAAGAAACAAGUGGCUGCAAGGAGGAAGGUAAGUGCUUGGGGUCGUACCAUUCCUCAUCUAUAAGACAGUGUGUCCCUUCUGUCUGGGCUAUGAUAAAGCCUUAGAAGAGAAGAUUUCAGGUAAUCAAGGCCCUGCAGGGGCUUUGGUACCUGAGAGGCUGCCUUCCUGAAGGGCAUCCAAAGUCUGCAAGCCACUGCCCCUUUCACACUGCUCAUGGGCAUCGAGGAGACCCAACAUACUGAGAUGUGAGUGGGAGACAUUUCUAUCCCAGCUGCUGCUUCUGUGGACUGUGAGUCCUCUCUUCCCGACAUGGAAAUUACCAAGCUAAGUCCUGGGUGAUAGGACUGAGGGCCGGAAAACCAGAAAAUAGCAGCAAGCCACCAAGUGAUCCAGAUGGUGGAGAUGAGCGUUUUAAAGUAGGCAGAGCCGGGCAUGGUGGCAGCACCUGUGGUCCCAGCUACCCGGGAGGCUGAGGCAGGAGGAUUAUUUGAGCUGGGGAGGUGGAGGCUGCAGUGAGCCGUGAUUGUGCCACCGCAUCCGGCCUGGGUAACUGAGCAAGUCUCAAAAAAAAAAGAUUUUCUGAAUGUAAUACUUUUAAAAUAAAAAGACAAGGGAAAAAUGUUACACAGGCGAAAGAAACACUCUUGCACCUCAUGAGGUUUGACAUAAGAAAGCGACACGGUCGGAUCUGGUGCUAGAAAGAUCCUGCUGGCACUCAUGUGGGAGAUGGAUGAGAAAGAGAAAGGAUGGCGUAGUGGGCAGAGGCAGCCAUCAAGAGCAGAGCCUGAAGCCUGGGGAUGGGGGAGAGGUGGUGGUUUUGUUACCAGAAAGGGGUCCCGAUCAAGACCCCCAGAGAGGGUUCUUGAAUCUCGUGCAAGAAAGAAUUUGAGGCAAGUCCAUAAAGUGAAAGCAAGUUUAUUAAGAAAGUAAAGGAAUAAAAGACUGGCUACUCCAUAGGCAGAGCAGCAGCAAGGACUGCUGGACUGAGUCUCCUUAUAGUUAUUUCCUGAAUAUAUGAUAAACAAGGGGUGGAUUAUUUAUGAGUUUUCCAGGGAAGGAGUGGAGAUUUCCUGGAGCUGAGGGUGCCUCCCCUUUUUAGGCCAGUAGGGGAACUUCCUGAAGUUGCCAUGCCAUCUGUGAACUGUCAUGGUACUGGUGGGCGUGUCUCUUAGCCUGCUAAUGCAUUAUAAUUAGUAUAUAAUGAGCAGUGAGGACCACCAGAGGUCACUUGAAUCGCUAUCUUGGUUUCGGUGGGUUUUGGCAGCUUCUUUACCGCAACCUGUUUUAUCAGCAGGGUCUUUGCGACUUGUAUCUUGUGCCAACCUCCUAUUGUCAUCCUGUGACUAAGAAUGCCUUAACCUACUGGGAAUGUAGCCCAGUAGGGCUCAGCCUCAUUUUACCCAGCCCCUAUUCAAGACGGAGUCACUCUGGUUCAAACCCCUCUGACAGUUUGGUGAGAAAUCUGGGCAAGACAGGGUCAGAUUUGGUGAUGUCUUGGAUGUGAGGUGGGAGAGCCAAAAGGCAUUCCUGACUGUUUGUCUGGAGUAUGGUGGUAACCAAGAAGGGGGAAGCUGGCAGUGAUGGUGGGUGUGGACCAAAAUUUCAAUUCAGGAGGCAGGCAGAGAUGUGAGUUUGGAGAUCAGAAUGGAGAGACAGCAGUGACAGGAAGCUCUAAGGCAGGAAGGGAAGGCCAUCAGCAUCAAUCAUCUCCACGGUUCUCUCCAGUUAAACCCUUCUCAGGCACCACCCCAUCCAGGAAACCACUCCCCAAGAGGAAGAACACGUGGAACUUCCUGAAAUGCGCCUACAUGGUGAUGACCUACCUCUUCGUAUCCUACAACAAAGGGGACUGGUUCACUUUUUCCUCCCAAGUGUUACUGCCACUACUGUAACUUGGAACUGGACAUCAGGGAUGAUCCCUGCUGUUCUUUCUAGUGAGCCUGCUCCAUCUCAGCUUAGCCUUCACAAGGCCUCCAUCUCCCAGGCAUUCUAACCUCUGAAGAAAGCUCUCUGUCCCCUGGACUGCCUGUGUGGAGGGUAAUGAACUGGGUCCUUUAAGGAAUGGCACCUGGGUGCCCAGAGGCAUGGCCAGAAGGUGUCUGUGGGGGCCAUGCCUUAGGGGGAUGCACCCAGGGCGGCUGAGAGAGCAACUGCAGGAGUUUCCCCUAAAAUCUCUCCUCCAGAUCGUUCUCGAACUUUCCCCACUACUUCCAUAAUAAAAUGUAUACUUGUUGAAAUGGCUGAAAAGGCUGGGUUAUUCCAUUCGCCCAACACUGAAAACUAACAGGUAUGCUGGUGGAUUACCAAGAAUCAAACGCUAUCAGUUAACUGUGCACUUUACAGGUGAA
This 4864-nucleotide long non-coding RNA is filed under the name Homo sapiens (human). RNAcentral describes it as "non-protein coding lnc-EDDM13-1:2". The record is from RNAcentral. Lineage: Eukaryota; Metazoa; Chordata; Mammalia; Primates; Hominidae.